AAAAAGAUGAUGAGAACUAAGUAUUAUAUACAAGAAGAAAUAGAAGAAGCAAGAAAAAAAAAAAAAAAAAAAAAAAAAAAACUGAAACUUGAAAUAAGUGGCGAAAGAUAUUUCAAUUUUCUUUAUACAAAAUUUUUCUUUUUUCUUUUUCUUUUUUCUUUUAGAAGAUAUAAUCUUAAUUAUAUUUUAUAAAAUAAAUUAAAAAAAAAUAUAAUUGUAAAAUCUUCUUAACAAGAACAAAUAUAAAACAUUUGUAUUCCUAUUAUUAUUUCAUUAAUGAAAUAAUAAUUUACAAACUUGAUAAAAUAAAAAUAAUAAAAAAAUAAAAUAAAUCUUUACGAAUGUUAGAGAUAAUUUUUAUAUAUUUUAUUUUUUACCUAUUUAUCAAAACACCAAAAGGAAAAAAAAAAGAAAAGGAAUAUAUAUAUAUAUACAUAUUUGUCAAUUGGACAAAAUUGUUUGCCUCCUUUGACAAUAUGAAUUUUUUUUUUUUUCCUUUUUUGCUUCUUCUCAUUUCUAUUAUCAUGAUUGAAGAAUAGAAAAAAUCUUUGGUAAUCUGAUUUUUAAUGA
Molecule: non-coding RNA, 570 nt
Organism: Plasmodium blacklocki (nom. inval.)
Lineage: Eukaryota; Apicomplexa; Aconoidasida; Haemosporida; Plasmodiidae
Source: the annotation of a GenBank genome assembly